UUGAACGCUGGCGGCAUGCUUUACACCUGCAAGUCGAACGGUAACAGGGUGCUUGCCCCGCUGACGAGUGGCGAACGGGUGAGUAAUGCAUCGGAAUGUACCGUGUAAUGGGGGAUAGCUCGGCGAAAGCCGGAUUAAUACCGCAUACGCCCUGAGGGGGAAAGUGGGGGACCGAAAGGCCUCACGUUAUACGAGCAGCCGAUGUCUGAUUAGCUAGUUGGUGAGGUAAAGGCUCACCAAGGCGUCGAUCAGUAGCGGGUCUGAGAGGAUGAUCCGCCACACUGGGACUGAGACACGGCCCAGACUCCUACGGGAGGCAGCAGUGGGGAAUUUUGGACAAUGGGCGCAAGCCUGAUCCAGCCAUGCCGCGUGUCUGAAGAAGGCCUUCGGGUUGUAAAGGACUUUUGUCCGGGAGCAAAUCCUAGUGGUUAAUAACCGCUGGGUCUGAGAGUACCGGAAGAAUAAGCACCGGCUAACUACGUG
Molecule: ribosomal RNA, 483 nt
Filed under: uncultured bacterium
Lineage: Bacteria
Description: partial 16S ribosomal RNA
Rfam family: Bacterial small subunit ribosomal RNA
Source: RNAcentral